This 460-nucleotide ribosomal RNA is filed under the name uncultured bacterium. Its description in RNAcentral is "partial 16S ribosomal RNA". It matches the Rfam family "Bacterial small subunit ribosomal RNA", at positions 338 to 795 of the family's 1533-position model. The record is from RNAcentral.
CCUACGGGCGGCAGCAGUGAGGAAUAUUGGUCAAUGGCCGGAAGGCUGAACCAGCCAAGCCGCGUGAAGGACGAAGGUGCCAAGCAUUGUAAACUUCUUUUGUCAAGGGACAAAAUCAGGCUCGAGAGCCUGACCGAGGGUACUUGAAGAAAAAGCAUCGGCUAACUCCGUGCCAGCAGCCGCGGUAAUACGGAGGAUGCGAGCGUUAUCCGGAUUUACUGGGUGUAAAGGGCGUGUAGGCGGGACUGCAAGUCAGAUGUGAAAACCAUGGGCUCAACCCAUGGCCUGCAUUUGAAACUGUAGUUCGUGAGUGUUGGAGAGGCAGGCGGAAUUCCGGGUGUAGCGGUGAAAUGCGUAGAUAUACGGAGGAACACCAGUGGCGAAGGCGGCCUGCUGGACAAUAACUGACGCUGAGGCGCGAAAGCGUGGGGAGCAAACAGGAUUAGAUACCCUUGUAGUC